RNAcentral lists this ribosomal RNA (481 nucleotides) under uncultured bacterium. Its description in RNAcentral is "partial 16S ribosomal RNA". It matches the Rfam family "Bacterial small subunit ribosomal RNA", at positions 29 to 507 of the family's 1533-position model. The record is from RNAcentral.
AUGAACGCUAGCGGCAGGCCUAAUACAUGCAAGUCGAACGAGAUUAAGAGGCUUGCUUCUUAUGAAAGUGGCGCACGGGUGCGUAAUGCGUAUGCAACCUACCUUAAUCAGGGGGAUAGCCCGAAGAAAUUCGGAUUAAGACCGCAUAAAAACACAGGAUAGCAUUAUCCAAUGUUCAAAUAUUUAUAGGAUUAAGAUGGGCAUGCGUGUCAUUAGCUAGUUGGCGGGGUAACGGCCCACCAAGGCGACGAUGACUAGGGGAUCUGAGAGGAUGACCCCCCACACUGGUACUGAGACACGGACCAGACUCCUACGGGAGGCAGCAGUAAGGAAUAUUGGUCAAUGGAGGGAACUCUGAACCAGCCAUGCCGCGUGCAGGAAGACAGCCCUCUGGGUCGUAAACUGCUUUUAGUCGGGAAUAAACCUUUCUACGUGUAGGAAGCUGAAUGUACCGAAGGAAUAAGGAUCGGCUAACUCCGUG